AGUAGAACGAACCGCCGCAAGGCGGUGAGUUGCGAACGGCUGAGUAAUGGAUAGGAAUCUCCCCAAUGGUGUGGAAUACCUCAUCGAAAGAUGAGCUAAUACCACAUAACCUCGCAAGAGAAAAGCGCUUAACUGCGCGCCGGUGGAUGAGCCUAUCUCCCAUCAGGCUGUUGGUAGGGUAAUGGCCUACCAAACCUAUGACGGGUACCCGCCCUGAGAGGGGAAACGGGCAGAAUGGGACUGAGACACGGCCCAUACACCUACGGGUGGCAGCAACAGGGAAUCGUACGCAAUGGACGAAAGUCUGACGUCGCAAUGCCGCGUGGGGGAUGAAGGCCUUCGGGUCGUAAACUCCUUUUAUAGUAAUAGAGAUGUUAUUAAGAAUAAGCACCUGCUAACUCUGUGCCAGCAGCCGCGGUAAUACAGAGGGUGCAAGCGUUAUCCGGAUUUAUUGGGCGUAAAGCGUUUCGUAGGCUGAUACAUAAGUUAUCUUUCAAAGACCACGGCUCAACCGGGGGAAGGGAGAUAAUACUGUGAGUCUUGAAAUAUGGUGGGGCUUCUGGAACUGAUGGUGUAGUAGUGAAAUACGUUGAUAUCAUCAGGAACUCCAAGGGCGAAGGCAGGAAGCUAACCAUUUUUUGACGCUGAGGAACGACAGCUAGGGGAGCGAAAGGGAUUAGAGACCCCUGUAGUCCUAGCCGUAAACUAUGCUCGCUAGGGGUGGGGCCGCAAGGCAUCGCCCCGUAAGCUAACGCGUUAAGCGAGCCGCCUGGGGAGUACGGUCGCAAGACUAAAACUCAA
RNAcentral lists this ribosomal RNA (801 nucleotides) under uncultured bacterium. Its description in RNAcentral is "bacterial SSU rRNA". It matches the Rfam family "Bacterial small subunit ribosomal RNA", at positions 60 to 904 of the family's 1533-position model. The record is from RNAcentral.